AUUGAACGCUGGCGGCAUGCCUUACACAUGCAAGUCGAACGGUAACAGGUUAAGCUGCCGAGUGGCGAACGGGUGAGUAAUGUAUCGGAACGUGCCCAGUCGUGGCGGAUAACUGCUCGAAAGAGCAGCUAAUACCGCAUACGACCUGAGGGUGAAAGCGGGGGAUCGCAAGACCUCGCGCGAUUGGAGCGGCCGAUAUCAGAUUAGGUAGUUGGUGAGGUAAAGGCUCACCAAGCCGACGAUCUGUAGCUGGUCUGAGAGGACGACCAGCCACACUGGGACUGAGACACGGCCCAGACUCCUACGGGAGGCAGCAGUGGGGAAUUUUGGACAAUGGGCGCAAGCCUGAUCCAGCCAUGCCGCGUGCGGGAAGAAGGCCUUCGGGUUGUAAACCGCUUUUGUCAGGGAAGAAAAGGUUCUGGCUAAUACCUGGGACUCAUGACGGUACCUGAAGAAUAAGCACCGGCUAACUACGUG
This 477-nucleotide ribosomal RNA is filed under the name uncultured bacterium. RNAcentral describes it as "partial 16S ribosomal RNA". It matches the Rfam family "Bacterial small subunit ribosomal RNA", at positions 30 to 507 of the family's 1533-position model. The record is from RNAcentral.